GUAGCUUGACUACCACACAAAUGAAUCCACUCAAAUGUUGGCAAGUGGAGCAGAGUCCCAGGAAAGGUACAGAAACACCCCCAGUUCAAGGAUCUUCAUACCUGGAUUUAGGCCUACUCCUGCAACUACCCCAGGAGGCUCUUGGAAACCACCGUGAAUUGGACUGCACUGGAAACACAGAUGAAGAAAGUCAACGCCGCUUUGUCCUUCAAUGCCUGGCUCCUUUUUCAGCUUGUCUUGCGAGUCCAGGGAGGGGCACGCCGCCUUUACCCUGUGCUUCCCACGAUCUUGUCUCCUUAAUCCUCACUGCAGCUCUCUGCCAUAGGGUCUUAUACUGCUUUACAUGUGGGUAACUGAGGCUCAGAGGGUUUCACAGCAGGGCAGGGAGCCCAGAUGUGAAUCUGUAGAUACCAAGCUUUCUAAUUUUUCAGUAGUUUCCAAGCAUUUUUUUUUUCUUGUUUCGUCAUUGGUGUCUUUUUUUUUUUUUUGAGACAAAGUCUCUGUCGCCCAGGCUGUGGUGCAAUGGUGCGAUCUCAGCUCACUGCAACCUCUGCGUCUCACAUUCAAGCAAUUCUCAUGCUUCAACCUCCCGAGUAGCUGGGACUACAGGUGCCCACCACACCCAGCUUAUUUUUGUAUUUUUAGUAGAAACAGGGUUUCACCAUGUUGGCCAGGCUGGUCUUGAACUCUUGACCUCAGGUGAUCCACCCGCCUUGACCUCCCAAUAUGCUGGAAUUAUAGAUAUGAGCCACUGUGCCCAGCCAUGUCAUUGGUGCCUUAACCAAGCCUCUUCUAAUUUUUCAAAUGGAAGAGCCCCUGUCCCACAGUUACUGCUGCUGAGCCCUUUCAAGGUGACUCAGUGAGGAGGGAGAAAAGCGGAAGCGGUGUGGGAAGAGGCGGGGUCUGGGCCAGCUGCUGUUCCUGCUUUCCUCCCUCCUCUGGCCUCUAGGCUCCCAGGAGUGGUUUGGAACCUGCGCCAUGUGCUCUGGAGGCUGUGGCAGGGCAGGGGCGGCUUGGAACCUGCGCCAUGUGCUCUGGGGACUGUGCCAGGGCAGGGGGAGUCCUCGUGUCCGCUGCGCACAACACAGACAGAAGGCUGGGUCCACGCAGUGGGCGGUCGGGUGCUAGGCUAGUGCUUACCCCGCCAUGUUUGCAGCCCGAGGCCAGCUGGCUGCAGGUGCAGGGCUAUGCGUCAGGGGUCAGAGUGCACACAGCCCUGCAGGUCUCAGGGCUCCUGGGUUGCUUCUGGAAGGGUCCAGAUGGGGCCUGACUGGAGCUGCCAAGGGGUGGAACUUCUGGGAAAAGGAUCCCUCCUAGGGGGGAGUGUCUUGAGCCUGGGGCCAUGUGGCAGGGACAGAGACGGG
Molecule: long non-coding RNA, 1364 nt
Filed under: Pan troglodytes (chimpanzee)
Lineage: Eukaryota; Metazoa; Chordata; Mammalia; Primates; Hominidae
Description: long non-coding RNA NONPTRT003135
Source: RNAcentral